UCCCAGUCGAGCAGCCAAGGUGCUCCUGCCAAGCGCUCCGGCUCUCCCUGCAGGGGACACGCAGGCCCGCCUCAGGGCCCUGGAGUCAAAGCCUCAGGCUGCGGCAGCUCCUCUGAGACAAGUGGUCCCAGACCCCAAGGACCAGUCCCCUGCGUCCCCAACUCCAGGCCGACCUUCAGUCCGAGCUGGGCUGUUUGGCUACUUGUUUUCCAACCUGUUGAAGGUCCCCCUGCCCUGCCCUCCAAGCUGAGACUCCCAGCGGUCGGAGCACACGUGCCUGAGGGCAGGCACAGGGCAGGAGGGUGGCUGGCAGAGCGCAAGACCCCUCCACCCGCCGCUUCAGUGGUCUCAGUGGGCGGAUGAAGAGAUGCUGCCUCCAGACACUGCCUCCAGCCCGGGGCUCCCUGGGGAGGUGUCCCCCCCAGACUUCCAAUCCCGGAAAGGGGUGGGCAUCUCCCUAAAGGAGGGAGGAAGGAGGAGGAUGGGCCGGGGUGUGGAGGUGUAGAGGUAACCCCCCCUUCUUCUUUCCACCUCCACUCCAGAGCUGGUCCACGUGGGGGGAUCUUGGGGAUGAGCGCUUAAGGAGGCUGCUGGUCUGCCUGGAAUCCCCCUGGGGUUGUUCGAAUGCAGAAUCCAAGGCCUUCCCAGCCCACGCUGUACCCGCCUCUCUGCGGGUAAUCCUUACAUACAUCCGCGUUUAGGAACCUUGGGGAGGGCUGGAGAGAGGGGUGAACACGGGGGUCUGCCUGGUGGGGGAAGCAGAGUGAGGGACUGCACAGGGUGGGGGAUGCUGAAGAUAGAGACCAAGUCCAGAGCCUUGCAAAGGCCCCGCCCCUCCCCCAAGCCAGCACUUAAUCCUGUCCCUGCUACUUAACCUCUCCCACCAGAGACCCGGGCACUUUAACUCCAUUUAAAUAAGCCCUUGAGGGCUCAGAAGAAAUUGCUGCCAGCAAUUCAGAAGCCCUGAGCCCUGAGGGCAGUCAGAGGCUUUCUGUCCAGCUGCCCUGGGUUCCAGGCUGUUGCCAGAAGCCUCCGCACGGCUUGGAGGCCCAAGCCUGCCAUCCAGGGCAGGGGGCUCCCCUGGGAGGAUGCCACCAGUACCCAAAAGCCUGGCCCAGGCCUCUUGGGCCCCACUCACUGGCCGCCUGGCUUAGCUUCCCCCAGUUCUCUUUAGCUCAAGCAAGGCGGGCCCCAGUUGGGCAGACCUGGACCCCAAUCCUCUUCCGGGCUGAGAAUGCUGGGCAAUUACUUAGCCCAAUUACUGCCGUGGGCAACUACUUCCUCUUCUGCAAAAUGAGCUUCACAGCUCUUGUAAGGGUUGAAUGAACGAUGUCCAUAAAACCCCUGGCCUGGUACCUGGCAGGUUGGAGAGGUUCGUGGCCACGGAGAAGAAGCGCUCAGUACCAGGAGUGGUGUGAGCAGAACCAGUCCCUCCAGGGCUAAGCAGAAUGGGUCCCUCCAGCAUCCCUGAGCCUCCAGCAUCCGAGCCGCUCAGCACCCAGAAGAGCUGAUCAUUAAACAUUUACCAGCACAUCUCUGAUGAAGGCAUUGAGGAUGGGUGAAAUUUCUGGAAGACUGUGAGCUUGGUGGGUCUCUACCCUGGCUGCACGUGAGGGUCACCUGAGGAGCUCUUAGCAAAUCCCAACACUCAAACACCACUCCAGACGGAUUGAAUCAGAAACCGGAGGAAGCAGAGGAAUGGGGGCAGUGAGCUAGAGAGGGUCCCGGGGUCACAGGAGAAGACUGCCCGCCAGAGUGUGUUAGCCGGCGAACCGAAUGCCCUUUGACUGGGAGGUGCUGCUGACGCUGACGAGAGAGAAGAGACAAAGUCCAUGGAUGACCAAGGAGUGAGGUCCAGAGGCCACACGGCAGGAGAAGAGCCAGCCAGCUGACUGGGAAAAUGAAAGCAAAACAACGAAGAAGCAUGUCAGACUUCACCUUUUUGCAAUGACGUGAACGACUUCUUUGCUGAAUCAGAAAAGAUUUUUUUUAAUCCUGGGAGAGUAUUUCCUCAAUUUUUUGUGCCAUUCGCAGUGUGACGUCGACAGACACGCCAUGAUCAAUCUGCAGCAUUAACAUUGUUUCCAUCGCUUUCUUAACUCCAGACAAUGAACAAAACAAUACCUCAGGCCCCGAUUUGCAGCGUUUGCCAGUUUUCGUGGUGUAAAUGCUCCCACAGCAGCUGAUCUCGAGCUGCCAGCAGGAAGUCACGGAACCCAGAAUUGGGACCAGGUGCUCAGUGGCCGCCACUGCCCACGUCUGCCUCACACAGACUCCCUGGACCAGUGUCACCUCGGGACCCGGUAGGAGUACGAUGCAGUGAUCACGGGGAAGAAAUGAGUUUUGAGCAUUUAUUACCUUUGUUCUUAAUAUAAUUGAUGUAAUUGCAAAUUUAAAUAAUUUAAUUUUUAAUAAUGUCUGUGUUUAACAACCGGUUCACAAAAUUUCUGAAAAUUUAGCCAUCAGCUCUCGCAAGCCAGUAUGAGCCGGCUCUAGAACACCACUGGCAGGAUCAUCUGGUUCCUUGCAAAAAUCCUACUUCUUCAACAUUCAUUUGACAGAUAUUUCCUGGGUAUCUACUACGUGCCAGGCAGUGUUCUAGAUGCUGGGGACACAGCAGAGAAGGGAGGUGAGGAGGGCCUGCCGUCGUGGAUUUAUGCUCCUCUGGGAGAGAGACAAGGAGCAUCUUCGAUACACAGAAGUUACUGUCUGUUCUAAGGCAAAGUCGGUGCCAGGGAAAAGAGAAGGGAAGACGAGGAGUGCCGGCGGGGUGGGGCCGUAAUCACAGAGUGGUCAGGAGCAGUUCACUGAAAAGAUGACAUUUGAGCAAAGACUUGAGGGAAAAGGAGAGAAGCAUGCAACUGUCUGAGGAAGAAAGUUCCAGGCUGUGGCCACAGCCAGUGCAAAGACCCUGAGGCAGCAGCGUGCCUGCCAUGUUUGAGGAUCGGUGGAGAGGUCCAUGUACCUGGAGCAGAGCGUGCAAGGGGGAGAGUGAGAAGAAGGUCACAGAGGAAGUCACACAGGGCCUUGGUGGCCUUUGUAGGGCUGUUGAGCUGAGAAGGUCUUACCUCCUUUUUGCAGAUGAAGAAACUGAGCCCUGGAGUCACACAG
Equus caballus (horse) is the source of this 3111-nucleotide long non-coding RNA. The record is from Ensembl. NCBI's taxonomy places the organism in Eukaryota, Metazoa, Chordata, Mammalia, Perissodactyla, Equidae.